This 460-nucleotide ribosomal RNA is filed under the name uncultured bacterium. RNAcentral describes it as "partial 16S ribosomal RNA". It matches the Rfam family "Bacterial small subunit ribosomal RNA", at positions 338 to 795 of the family's 1533-position model. The record is from RNAcentral.
CCUACGGGAGGCAGCAGUGAGGAAUAUUGGUCAAUGGACGAGAGUCUGAACCAGCCAAGUAGCGUGAAGGAUGACUGCCCUAUGGGUUGUAAACUUCUUUUAUAAAGGAAUAAAACGAGGCACGUGUGCCUUUUUGCAUGUACUUUAUGAAUAAGGAUCGGCUAACUCCGUUCCAGCAGCCGCGGUAAUACGGAGGAUCCGAGCGUUAUCCGGAUUGAUUGGGUUUAAAGGGAGCGUAGAUGGGUUGUUAAGUCAGUUGUGAAAGUUUGCGGCUCAACCCUAAAAUUGCAAUUGAUACUGGCAGUCUUGAGUACAGUUGAGGUAGGCGGAAUUCGUGGUGUAGCGGUGAAAUGCUUAGAUAUGACGAAGAACCCCGAUUGCGAAGGCAGCUUACUAAACUGUGACUGACAUUGAUGCUCGAAAGUGUGGGUAUCAAACAGGAUUAGAUACCCUUGUAGUC